RNAcentral lists this long non-coding RNA (757 nucleotides) under Eucalyptus grandis. Its description in RNAcentral is "long non-coding RNA (EGRA_LNC005638)". The record is from RNAcentral. Lineage: Eukaryota; Viridiplantae; Streptophyta; Magnoliopsida; Myrtales; Myrtaceae.
UUUUUUUUUUUUUUUUUAGCAACCCCAAUAAGUUCAUCAAUAGCAUAGAUAGGCUGGGUGGCUGCUUUAUGUCGACAUCAAUCACGGUGUGGAAAAUUUCUGUAUGGCCCAAGCAAAGAUCGAUCGGCCAAUUAGUGGGUGAAUAAUGACUGAUCCCUUGACAUAAUUGCUGUGGAGAAAGGAAUGACAUUUACAUUUCUACCAAAGGAACUCGUAGUGCCAACCAAUCUCUUCCUCCUUCCACUAGCUGCUUGGUUAUCACUGUACGGUAAAGCAGAGUCAGAGAGCAUGUUCCUUUUCGUUCGUGGCCACGAUUUGCAGAGGGGAAGAAAAGGAGGAGGAGGAGCAUGGCAUCACCUUUGAGCAUGCUGGAGAGUUGCUGGUGGAAAUCUGGGUGGUUCACCUGCUGAGUUCUGGUUAUGGGGUCACGUCUUGAUUUUCUUCGAUAUGAACUGUCUUCGUUCUCUCCCCACUUUGGAAAAAAGCUAAUCCACUCGAUCAAGCAUGAUUGCUGCAGAGAAUCUCCACGUCAUUCCAUUUGUUUGAGAUCGAUAGUCAAGCUUGAUUCAUGGAAAAAUAGAUGGCGGCUCUAAGACCCUUAAGAUCACAUGUUAUAUGAAAAUCAUUGCAUUAUUACAAGUUAUUGCUUAAGGGUUGCCUCUAAAUUCGAAUCCUAAGAAUUAUAUUUGUGUUACUGGCUUCUUUUUAUUAUUAUUUAGUAUUGAGAUUAUGAAAGAGAUUUCCUGAAAUAAGUGAC